UACGGGGGGGGUAAGCGUUGUUCGGAAUUACUGGGCGUAAAGGGCUCGUAGGCGGCCAACUAAGUCAGACGUGAAAUCCCUCAGCUUAACUGGGGAACUGCGUCUGAUACUGGAUGGCUUGGAUUCGGGAGAGGAAUGCGGAAUUCCAGGUGUAGCGGUGAAAUGCGUAGAUAUCUGGAGGAACACCGGUGGCGAAGGCGGCAUCCUGGACCAAUACUGACACUGAGGAGCGAAAGCCAGGGGAGCAAACGGG
Molecule: ribosomal RNA, 253 nt
Filed under: uncultured bacterium
Lineage: Bacteria
Description: partial 16S ribosomal RNA
Rfam family: Bacterial small subunit ribosomal RNA
Source: RNAcentral